UUGCCAUGAGCUAUGGUACAGGUCGCAGACGCAGCUCAGAUCUGGUGUCUACCUAGGCCAGCAGCUGUAGCUCUGAUUAGACCCCUGGCCUGGGAACCUCCACAUGCCGCGGGUGUGGCACCAAGAUGCAAAAACAAAAAAAACCAAAAACAACCUUUUGUUGUACGCUUGGGUGUGGCCAUGGGUCUCAAACACAGCUUGUGUUGGACAUCCUCCCCGGCAGUGCAUUUUAGAUGGACCUCAACGUGCCUCACAUGCCACAGAGUAAAUGGACUCAACUGUACCAACCAAGUCCUUCACUGACAAACGAGCGCUAGCUCUAGCUUUUCACUCUGCCCCCUUAUAUUCCCUGGGCGUGUCUCUAGACACAUGAAGGAGAACUUCUUUAGGGUAGAUACCCAGACGCUCUGGUACCUAAGGCCCAGCGCCAGGGCUCAGUGGUGCACAGCCAGACCGGUCCCAGCCCCACGGAGCCGUGAGCCCACUGUGAGCUCGGACGCCUGUCGUCCGCGGGGUGCCCAGGCUGGGGAGGCAGGGCCAGCUUCCUCUGGCGGAAACAUCUGAGCUGGGUCCUGGUGGAGGUGGCCACGAGAGAGGGACAGACGUUAGAGUGUCCAGGGAGGGGCAGUGGGGUGAUCCCGAGCCUGGGAGGAGCACACGCCUGCGAGGAGCAAGCGGGAGCCGGGGUGUGGCUCCAUGGGAGGAAGAUGCAGGCCCUGGGAUGGAGACCCUGCUGGGGAGGGGGGCCAGGGCGAGACCCAGGCUCGGAGCAGAAGUGAUUCGAUCUGUACCUCAGCAAGCGAGCACCUGGGGGGCCAGGAAAGAGAGAGCGGCCACGCGACCCCCUGGGCCCCAGGGAAGGGCACAGCGGUGGGCAGCCCAAGGGGGAAGGCGUCUCCCCGCUCGGAAAACUGCAGAGGGACCAAGAAUGUAUGGCUAGACCUGAAGUCAGGUGACAGGACAGGCGAGCACUCGGAGGCCGGGACCACAGGAUCUUCAUCUGGUGGCUGGGUCGCUGUCCAACUGGAGGCAGGAGCCUGGAGAGUGCUUGCACUACGGGACUUGGUGCAGGGAGCAGAGCGCGCAGGGAUGAAGGGGCUGAGGAGUCCAGCGGGGGGCGCAGAGGUGGAACCAGCAGGAAGCCGCCCCACCCUUAAGCCGGCAGGACCGAGGGAGGGAGUGGCAGUCCUGCAGCCUGGGGCUGGGGACAGAAGAACCUCGGUGGCAGUUGCUGUCAGAGAGCUUUCUGGAGACAGAGGGGAGAAACCCUCCAGUCUCCCCCUGGCUCCCCCCAUUGGCCACACCCAGUGACACCAGCACUUGGGACACGUGGCCACAGGGCCAAGCUUCGGCCCCAUGCCCAGGGAGGAGAGGAAGGACGAGGAACAGCCCCAGGGCCAACACACCCAGACCAGCACCGCCAGCCGGGCCUCUGGCAGCCGGAGUAGCACCUGGUGCAGGAGACACGCCGCCUAAAAGCAUAAAGAAAGCCCGAUGGCUUCAGAGCCCCUCUGGGGCGCCGAUGGAUACAUUUCCUGAGAGUUGCUGCCCCUGCUCUCAGACUGACAGGCCUCCUUAUCCGCAGCCCGGCCGCACAGCCCGCACUCAAUGGCAGGUGGAUAGUGCCUUCUCUCAAACAGAAGCCCCACCCCUCACGGCCCCACAAACGUCACUACUGCCCAGGGGAGACUGUUUCCACACUGUGAAGCAGGAGGGACCCCAAAAGUUCAAGGAUAAGAACCAGGAGGCUGAGAUGCUCCGAUCAGCUGCAGGUCACUGUGAGGCCCCUGCACACAGGCGAGAGAACCCUCCUCACCGGCCCAGUCCACCCCGACGUCCUGGUCGGGGUCUCUGGCAGCUGGCGCAGAGAGAGGCUUGCUGCCAGUCAUGCUCCUGCUAGAGUCCAGCUGGGAGAAGGCACGGAGACGAGGUGAGGGCUUUGCGGCUGCCCGGCUCUGCCAGUAACCAGCUAGGUGACCACGGGUCAGCUCCAGCCCCAGAAAACGGGAAGGAUACGAUCUCCCUCCGGGGCUGUUGGGAAAUGUCUGAAACAGAGCCUGAGUCCUCCAAAGAUGACCCUUGGGAGAGCCGUGCACUGCCUCUUCUCUCACUGGAACAAAGGGCCCCAUUCCCGGCCCACGGUGGCCGCCCCCGACAGAGAGCUACGUUACUAUUAAUGAUGCCAGCACUGACCGGGCGCUUCCACGUGCCAGCCUCAUCCUCAGGAGUUCACAGCUAGGGAGCCACUUAACCUACACAAGCCUGGGGACUAGGAAGCACCGUUAUACCCACUUUACAGAUGAGGAGACUGAGGCAAUGAGAGGCUUGGCAUGAACGCACCAACACACAGUCUGUAAGUGGUGGAGCCAGAACUCCAGAGCUGACCCAGUGAAUCACUACUCUAGCACUACCCGUUCUGGGUGCCUGCUGUGUGCCAGGAACCACGCAAAAGUCCCCCCAGGCUGUGGAUGAAGAAAGGGAGGCCCAGUGAGAAGCCACUUGUCCAGGGUCACAGACUGACAAGCACCCACGUAGGUUGGAACCCAGGUGGUCUCACUGCAGAAGUACGCUCCCGACCUGCAAGAUCAGCCUGGGAUGAAGGUCGAGUCAGGCGACCCCUUCUGCCCUCCUCGCACCAUUUGUGGAAACUUCUCUCACCCUCUUCCUCCGGGGGUGGCCACACAGCCCCCAAAGCGGGGGGCUUUCUUGGUCACUCCUCCCCCCGACUGCAGGGGCUGGAACACCUGCUGCCUCACAACAAAUCCAGCCUCAAAUAGACAAGAGCAUCACCAGAUUCUAGCCUCUUAUACAGUAAAUACAUGAAGUCAUUCUCCACAAACAAACACAUUAUUCUGGGGACCAAGAGACUGGACAUCAACAAAGCUGGCAGCAUUUUUUUUUCUGUUUUGCUUUUCCAACUUGCAGCAGCAACCAGAACAGAAGCCCCGAGGUCCAUUUAGGGGCCCUCUUGAGCCCAUGACCACGCUGGGUGACCGGGAUGGGAGCGAAAAUAGUGACAGUUGUGCCGAGGCUGCGAGUCAGGGCAGUGAAAGAGCUGGGCUUGGAGAAACUCAUACCCAGAAGAAGUCGCACCAGGGGCUGGCUCCAGCUCAGCCUGUGCCCCGGGGACAGCUCGGUCUAGGAAGCAUGCAGAGCUGGCCCUCGCACCCCAGCCAGCGCCCUCUGGGCAGGAUGACAGGCGGCACCCACACAACACCCCUGGCACGACCCUGGAAGUUUCGGCCCUGCUCCACAGGCGCCUGGCCCUGGGAGGGCGUCCUGGGCUGCAGAGGAUCAAAGGCCAGCUCUAUUUUCGAGCUGGCCUCGCAGGAGAAUCCCAGGGUGGAAAGGAACCCAAUCCAGCCAGGUGGUGUGACGGAUCAGCUUUCAGUCCCUUCAUUCACUCGACAGCCGCUUCCGGAACACCUACUAUGCGUGGGGUAGCAGCCAGCACUGCUGGCCUGGCUCCUCCACUCCAGCCGCUGCCUGGGACCUUGGCCACGAGGCCAGCGAGGAAGGUGGCACCUAUGAAUAGCACACUGGCAGGAAGCCCCCGCAUCCUGGGCCUGGCGAGCAGCCGGCAGGCCCCACUCUAAGGAGACUCCUCUGGAAGAAAGAGAAUCUUCCAACCAGCUAAAAAGAGGGAAGAACGCAUGGAUUUAUACAGAGUGUAGGCAAGGGAUUCAAACCAAAGCAAGAGGCUCCCAGCAGCCAGAGACGGGACAAUCUGAACAUCAAAAUGAAUCAGAGUAACUACAAUGCAUGCCAACAGAGCAAGUAUAAAUUCAAAUCCACGAAUCCAUAUUGAUCAUAAACAUUUUUAAAAUCAACCUUUGAGGAGUUCCUGUUGUGGCUCAGUGGGUUAAGGACCUGAUGUUGUCUGUGUGAAGAUGUGGGUUCAAUCUUUGGCCUUGCUCAGUGGGUUAAGGAUCCAGCGUUGCCAGGAGCUGCAGUGUAGGCCACAGUGUGGCUCAGAUCCUACGUUGCAGUGGCUGUGAUGUAGGCUGGCAGCUGCAGCCUCGAUUCAACGCCUAGCCCGGAAACUUCCAUAUGUCAUGGGCCAUAAAAAGAGGGGAAAAAAAAGAAAAAGAAAUCUUUGGAAGAGCCUAUAAGAUCAAUUCAUGGCUCUCGAACUUGGCAAUAAGGGGGAAGACGAAGCUUUUUUCCUGCCUUUCCUGUAUAUACUGAACUUCAGUACCAACAAGAAGCUGACAAAGUAAAGCUUUUUUUAAAGAAUAAUUCCAUCUAAUCAAUGAAGAAGAAAAGGGAGACUUAAAAUGGCCUCACUCCACACCCCUGAUGAAAUAACGGGACCCAAGCAGUGACUGCUGAUGACAACUAAAAACCUGGCGGGAAAGCAGGCGUCUGUUGUAUUAGCCCAAGUGUAGAACCAACUAGAAAGUCACGGAAAGUGGCGGGAAACUUACAGGGAAUACAGGGCACAGAGGAGCUGGUUCAAGGACACCGUGGGGAAGCAAUCAGCGCGAGGCCAGCGAGGAAGGUGGCACCUAUGAAUAGCACACUGGCAGGAAGCCCCCCGCAUCCUGGGCCACAAGACAGAUGACCCGAUUCAAGAAGAGGUUUAAAACCCUGAAGAGACACAGAAGGCAAAUGUGAGGAACAGACCACGCUUGGAUCCUUAUUUGAACCAAUCACAACCCAAAUCAUUUACGAAACAACUGGGGAAACGCAACCAGGCACGUGGUGUCAAGGAGCUACUGUUCCUCUCUGAGGCGGGAGAACACAUCAGCUACAUGCUCAUGUUUUCAGAAGCUACUGUUCUUUUUCAGAGACGCCUAGUUCAGUGACUUCUACUGAGGUGAGAAGAUGUCGGGGAAUCGUUCCGGGUCAUUCAGGGGGUGGAGAGGGGACUGGGUGGGGAUGGUUACAGGACAAGACUGGCCCAGCGCGGGUAACUGCUGAAGCUGGGGACGGGUACACGGCGGCUCAUU
This 4952-nucleotide long non-coding RNA is filed under the name Sus scrofa (pig). Its description in RNAcentral is "lncRNA (ENSSSCG00005029989.1)". The record is from RNAcentral. Lineage: Eukaryota; Metazoa; Chordata; Mammalia; Artiodactyla; Suidae.